UACAGAGGGUGCGAGCGUUAAUCGGAAUUACUGGGCGUAAAGCGUGCGUAGACGGUUAUUUAAGUCGGAUGUGAAAGCCCCGGGCUCAACCUGGGAAUUGCAUUCGAGACUGAAUAGCUAGGGUGCGGUAGAGGGAAGCGGAAUUUCCGGUGUAGCGGUGAAAUGCGUAGAGAUGUGGAGGAACACCGAUGGCGAAGGCAGCCCCCUGGGCUAACACUGACGCUCAGGCACGAAAGCGUGGGGAGCAAACAGG
Molecule: ribosomal RNA, 253 nt
Filed under: uncultured bacterium
Lineage: Bacteria
Description: partial 16S ribosomal RNA
Rfam family: Bacterial small subunit ribosomal RNA
Source: RNAcentral